GAUCAACGCUGGCGGCGUGCUUAACACAUGCAAGUCGAACGAAGUUUUUCUUUCGGGAGGAACUUAGUGGCGGACGGGUGAGUAACGCGUGGGUAACCUGCCCUGUACAGGGGGACAACAGCUGGAAACGGCUGCUAAUACCGCAUAAGCCCUUAGCACUGCAUGGUGCAUAGGGAAAAGGAGCAAUCCGGUACAGGAUGGACCCGCGUCUGAUUAGCCAGUUGGCAGGGUAACGGCCUACCAAAGCGACGAUCAGUAGCCGAUCUGAGAGGAUGUACGGCCACAUUGGGACUGAGACACGGCCCAGACUCCUACGGGAGGCAGCAGUGGGGAAUAUUGCACAAUGGAGGAAACUCUGAUGCAGCGACGCCGCGUGAGUGAAGAAGUAUUUCGGUAUGUAAAGCUCUAUCAGCAGGAAAGAAAAUGACGGUACCUGACGAAGAAGCACCGGCUAAAUACGUG
RNAcentral lists this ribosomal RNA (462 nucleotides) under uncultured bacterium. RNAcentral's name for it is "partial 16S ribosomal RNA". It matches the Rfam family "Bacterial small subunit ribosomal RNA", at positions 28 to 507 of the family's 1533-position model. The record is from RNAcentral.